CCCUUAGAUGUUCUGGGCCGCACGCGCGCUACACUGACGAAUGCAACGAGCUUAUAACCUUGGCCGAAAGGUCUGGGUAAUCUCCAAAUUUCGUCGUGAUGGGGAUAGAUUAUUGCAAUUAUUAAUCUUCAACGAGGAAUUCCUAGUAAUGGCGAAUCAUCAGUUCGUCGUGAUUACGUCCCUGCCCUUUGUACACACCGCCCGUCGCUCCUACCGAUAGAGCAGUCCGGUGAAUACUUCGGACCGACAGCUUGAUUGGUUCGCCAGUCUUGCCGUUGGAAAGUCGAGUGAACCUUAUUGCUUAGAGGAAGGAGAAGUCGUAACA
This 325-nucleotide ribosomal RNA is filed under the name uncultured eukaryote. RNAcentral's name for it is "partial 18S ribosomal RNA". It matches the Rfam family "Eukaryotic small subunit ribosomal RNA", at positions 1470 to 1796 of the family's 1831-position model. The record is from RNAcentral.